CCUAUUUAAUCAGCACCGCUAUUGUCGUCUCCAUCAACCACUUUAUUCUCGGCACCGAUAGCGCUAAUAAAGCCUCCAACUUUCUCAUGAUCAUUGUCUUCCGCUUCCCUCUCCCUACGCUAUUGUCGUCUCCGUCAACCACUGUAUUCUCGGCACCGAUAGCGCUCCUCCAACUUUCUCAUGGUCAUUGACUUCCGCUUCCCUCUCCCUCCACCUGCAAGAAUGCCCCUCCCCUUCCUUUUGCCAUAGCCACCACAAAUGUCUCUAUCCCAUUUAUCGAGAUCAUGCAAAUCAACUAUCGCGAGGGAGAGGUCAACCAAAUGUGCCACAUGUCGCAAAACCCCACUUUCACGGCCAUCAAGACCUGCGAGUCCAAGCUAUACAUCUUUAACUAUGGCUACUGCCUGCCGAUCGAGGCCACCAGAGGGGAAGUCAGAUGGCCUAGACCUCUUCUUGAGAGAGCACACUACUAAAGGGAUGUAGGUGUAAUGUCUAUAGAGAAGGUUCUUAAUGCGAUUGAUGUAUUUGAGGCUAAAAGUUUAUCACGAAGAAUUUAUGCUUAUCCAGAAGGU
Molecule: non-coding RNA, 572 nt
Organism: Elaeis guineensis (African oil palm)
Lineage: Eukaryota; Viridiplantae; Streptophyta; Magnoliopsida; Arecales; Arecaceae
Source: RefSeq, a predicted model, not a curated record